Molecule: ribosomal RNA, 1490 nt
Filed under: uncultured bacterium
Lineage: Bacteria
Description: 16S ribosomal RNA
Rfam family: Bacterial small subunit ribosomal RNA
Source: RNAcentral
UUCCAGAGUGUGAUCCUGGCUCAGGAUGACCGCUAGCGGCAGGCCUAACACAUGCAAGUCGAACGGUAACAGGGGUAGCAAUACCUGCUGACGAGUGGCGCACGGGUGAGUAACGCGUAUGCAACCUGCCCUGUACUGGGGGAUAGCUCGGAGAAAUCCGGAUUAAUACCCCAUAAUAAUAGAGACGGGCAUCUGUUUUUAUUAAAGUUUUGGCGGUACAGGAUGGGCAUGCGUGCCAUUAGUUAGUUGGUGAGGUAACGGCUCACCAAGACGAUGAUGGCUAGGGGGUCUGAGAGGAUGGUCCCCCACACUGGUACUGAGACACGGACCAGACUCCUACGGGAGGCAGCAGUGAGGAAUAUUGGUCAAUGGACGCAAGUCUGAACCAGCCAUGCCGCGUGCAGGAUGACGGCCUUAUGGGUUGUAAACUGCUUUUGUAUGGGAAGAAACCCCUGAUCGUGAUCAGGGCUGACGGUACUGUACGAAUAAGCAUCGGCUAACUCCGUGCCAGCAGCCGCGGUAAUACGGAGGAUGCGAGCGUUAUCCGGAUUUAUUGGGUUUAAAGGGUGCGUAGGCGGGGUAGCAAGUCAGUGGUGAAAGUCUGCAGCUCAACUGUAGAAUUGCCGUUGAUACUGUUACUCUUGAAUUCAGUUGAGGCAGGCGGAAUGUGUAAUGUAGCGGUGAAAUGCAUAGAUAUUACACAGAACACCGAUUGCGUAGGCAGCUUGCUAACUGAGAUUGACGCUGAGGCACGAAAGCGUGGGGAGCAAACAGGAUUAGAUACCCUGGUAGUCCACGCCGUAAACGAUGAUUACUGGAUGUGUGCGAUACACUGUACGCGUCUGAGUGAAAGCAUUAAGUAAUCCACCUGGGGAGUACGAUCGCAAGAUUGAAACUCAAAGGAAUUGACGGGGGCCCGCACAAGCGGAGGAACAUGUGGUUUAAUUCGAUGAUACGCGAGGAACCUUACCUGGGCUUAAAUGCAUAUUGACGUACCGGGAAACUGGUAUUCCCUUCGGGGCGAUUUGCAAGGUGCUGCAUGGUUGUCGUCAGCUCGUGCCGUGAGGUGUCGGGUUAAGUCCCAUAACGAGCGCAACCCUUAUCGUUAGUUGCCAGCGGGUAAAGCCGGGGACUCUAACGAAACUGCCAGUGUAAACUGUGAGGAAGGUGGGGAUGACGUCAAAUCAGCACGGCCCUUACGUCCAGGGCUACACACGUGUUACAAUGGCCGGUACAGAGGGCAGCUACCUGGUGACAGGAUGCUAAUCUCGAAAGCCGGUCUUAGUUCGGAUCGAAGUCUGCAACUCGACUUCGUGAAGCUGGAUUCGCUAGUAAUCGCGCAUCAGCCACGGCGCGGUGAAUACGUUCCCGGGCCUUGUACACACCGCCCGUCAAGCCAUGGGAGCUGGGGGUGCCUGAAGUCCGUAACCGCAAGGAUCGGCCUAGGGUAAAACCAGUGACUGGGGCUAAGUCGUAACAAGGUAGCCGUA